GUGUGAUUGGCGCGCUUUCCCCUUGGUAGUAGGACGGUUUGGGUGUCUGUUGGGUUUGUUUUUGUUUGUUUGGGGUUUUUCUGGCUUCAGGGUUAAAAGGAAGGGAAAAGGCGUCGUUGGCAUCCCCAAGUUGUAAGUGGGUCAUGCAACACACUGCACCCAGAGCUUUCGGUGGUCUUAAAGCACAAGCCUUCUGCUCUGCGGCUAAAGUGUAAGCAGGGGCGCGAGCGCGAACAGCGUGUUGGUGACACCUCCCCGUCCCGAACUGCUUGUAGAACCAGAGCGUGAUAAAGAAGCACCUGGGAGGCAGAGGCAGGUGGAUUUCUGGGUUCGAGGCCAGCCUGGUCUACAGUGUGAGUUCCAGGACAGCCAGAGCUACACAGAGAAACCCUGUCUCGGAGGGGAAAAAAAGGCACUUAAGAAAUGGCUAACUCCCUCUGCUGAAAGCCACCGGUUCUGUGGUACCAUGGGAUAUGCCACCCCAGAUUUUUCAUUAAGAAUGAAGGACUUGGGCUGGUGAGAUGGCUCAGUGGGUAAGAGCACCCAACUGUUCUUCCAAAGGUCCAGAGUUCAAAUCCUAGCAACCACAUGGUGGCUCACAACCAUCCGUAACAAGAUCUGACUCCCUCUUCUGGAGGGUCUGAAGACAGCUACAGUGUAUUUACAUAUAAUAAUAAAUAAAUCUUUAAAAAAAAAAAAA
Molecule: long non-coding RNA, 700 nt
Filed under: Mus musculus (house mouse)
Lineage: Eukaryota; Metazoa; Chordata; Mammalia; Rodentia; Muridae
Description: predicted gene, 46815, transcript variant 2 (Gm46815)
Source: RNAcentral